Diplogelasinospora grovesii is the source of this 91-nucleotide non-coding RNA. The record is from the annotation of a GenBank genome assembly. NCBI's taxonomy places the organism in Eukaryota, Fungi, Ascomycota, Sordariomycetes, Sordariales, Diplogelasinosporaceae.
GCGCGGUUAGUUCAGUGGUUAGAAUUUUCGCUUCCCAGACCCCUUCCUUCUGGACCAGCGAAGGACCCGGGUUCGAACCCCGGGCUGCGCA